This 870-nucleotide ribosomal RNA is filed under the name Codinaea siamensis. RNAcentral describes it as "eukaryotic LSU rRNA". It matches the Rfam family "Eukaryotic large subunit ribosomal RNA", at positions 73 to 975 of the family's 3401-position model. The record is from RNAcentral. Lineage: Eukaryota; Fungi; Ascomycota; Sordariomycetes; Chaetosphaeriales; Chaetosphaeriaceae.
AUGCCUCAGUAACGGCGAGUGAAGCGGCAACAGCUCAAAUUUGAAAUCUGGCCCCCCGGCCCGAGUUGUAAUUUGCAGAGGAUGCUUCUGGCGCGGUGCCUUCCAAGUCCCCUGGAACGGGGCGCCAUAGAGGGUGAGAGCCCCGUCCGGUUGGCCGCCAAGCCUGUGUGAAGCUCCUUCGACGAGUCGAGUAGUUUGGGAAUGCUGCUCUAAACGGGAGGUAGACCCCUUCUAAAGCUAAAUACCGGCCAGAGACCGAUAGCGCACAAGUAGAGUGAUCGAAAGAUGAAAAGCACUUUGAAAAGAGGGUUAAACAGUACGUGAAAUUGUUGAAAGGGAAGCGCUUGUGACCAGACGUGCGCCGGGUGUUCAGCGGGCGUUUUCGCCCGUGCAUUCGCCCCGGCGCAGGCCAGCGUCGGUUCGGGCGGGGGGAUAAAGGUGUCAGGAACGUAUCUCCCUCGGGAGUGUUAUAGCCUGGCGCGUCAUGCCCCCGCCUGGACCGAGGUUCGCGCUCCGCAAGGACGCUGGCGUAAUGGUCCCCAGCGGCCCGUCUUGAAACACGGACCAAGGAGUCGAGGUUUUACGCGAGUGUCUGGGUGUCAAACCCGCACGCGUAAUGAAAGUGAACGUAGGUGGGAGCUUCGGCGCACCACCGACCGAUCCUGAUGUUUUCGGAUGGAUUUGAGUAGGAGCGUAGGGCCUCGGACCCGAAAGAUGGUGAACUAUACUUGGAUAGGGUGAAGCCAGAGGAAACUCUGGUGGAGGCUCGCAGCGGUUCUGACGUGCAAAUCGAUCGUCAAAUCUGAGUAUGGGGGCGAAAGACUAAUCGAACCAUCUAGUAGCUGGUUACCGCCGAAGUCUCCCCCCUCA